GCUACUGUGGCGCAAUAGGUAGCGCAAUUGAUUUGUAAUCAAUAGGUUGCAGGUUCGACUCCUGUCAGUAGCUCCA
This 76-nucleotide transfer RNA is filed under the name Caudoviricetes sp. RNAcentral's name for it is "tRNA-Thr". It matches the Rfam family "tRNA". Rfam says of the family: Transfer RNA (tRNA) molecules are approximately 80 nucleotides in length. Their secondary structure includes four short double-helical elements and three loops (D, anti-codon, and T loops). Further hydrogen bonds mediate the characteristic L-shaped molecular structure. tRNAs have two regions of fundamental functional importance: the anti-codon, which is responsible for specific mRNA codon recognition, and the 3' end, to which the tRNAs corresponding amino acid is attached (by aminoacyl-tRNA synthetases). tRNAs cope with the degeneracy of the genetic code in two manners: having more than one tRNA (with a specific anti-codon) for a particular amino acid; and 'wobble' base-pairing, i.e. permitting non-standard base-pairing at the 3rd anti-codon position. The record is from RNAcentral. Lineage: Duplodnaviria; Heunggongvirae; Uroviricota; Caudoviricetes.